Molecule: ribosomal RNA, 482 nt
Filed under: uncultured bacterium
Lineage: Bacteria
Description: partial 16S ribosomal RNA
Rfam family: Bacterial small subunit ribosomal RNA
Source: RNAcentral
AUUGAACGCUGGCGGCAUGCUUUACACAUGCAAGUCGAACGGUAACAGGCCGCAAGGUGCUGACGAGUGUCGAACGGGUGAGUAAUGCAUCGGAACGGGCCCCGUCGUUGGGGAUAACUACUAGAAAGAGUAGCUAAUACCGCAUACGAUCUAUGGAUGAAAGCGGGGGACCGUAAGGCCUCGCGCGAUUUUAGCGGCCGAUGUCAGAUUAGGUAGUUGGUGGGGUAAAGGCUCACCAAGCCAACGAUCUGUAGCUGGUCUGAGAGGACGACCAGCCACACUGGGACUGAGACACGGCCCAGACUCCUACGGGAGGCAGCAGUGGGGAAUUUUGGACAAUGGGCGAAAGCCUGAUCCAGCAAUGCCGCGUGCAGGAAGAAGGCCUUCGGGUUGUAAACUGCUUUUGUACGGAACGAAACGGCUCUGGUUAAUACCCGGGGCUAAUGACGGUACCGUAAGAAUAAGCACCGGCUAACUACGUG